UCCUUUUAUGCAUUUGAAGAUUACCGUGCUGAGAAAAGGCUUUACCACACAGAUUACAUUCAUAGGGUUUCUCACCAGUAUGUGUUCUUUUAUGCAUUUGAAGAGCACUGUGCUGAGAAAAGGCUUUACCACACUGAUUACAUUCAUAGGGUUUCUCUCCAGUAUGUGUCCUUUUAUGCAUUUGAAGAGCACUGUGCUGAGAAAAGGCUUUACCACACUGAUUGCAUUCAUAAGGUUUCUCUCCAGUAUGUGUCCUUUUAUGCAUUUGAAGAGCACUGUGCAGAGAAAAGGCUUUACCACACUGAUUGCAUUCAUAGGGUUUCUCUCCAGUAUGUAUGUUUUUAUGCAUUUGAAGAGUAGUGUGCUGAGAAAAGGCUUUACCACACUGAUUACAUUCAUAGGGUUUUUCUCCAGUAUGUAUUCUUUUAUGCAUUUGAAGAGCACUGUGAUGAGAAAAGGCUUUACUACAUUGAUUACAUUCGUGGGUUUUCUCCCCUCUAUGUCUUCUUUGAUGAAUAAGAAGAUAACUGUGAGAUGCAAAGGCUUUAACACGUUGGUUACAUUCAUAUGAUUUCUCUCCAGUGUGUUUUCUUUCAUAACUUUGGAGAGAACUGUUAUUUUCAAAGGCUUUAUCACAUUGUGUGUAUACAGAAGAAUUCUCUC
Molecule: long non-coding RNA, 663 nt
Filed under: Cricetulus griseus (Chinese hamster)
Lineage: Eukaryota; Metazoa; Chordata; Mammalia; Rodentia; Cricetidae
Description: lncRNA (ENSCGRG00015038337.1)
Source: RNAcentral